RNAcentral lists this ribosomal RNA (458 nucleotides) under uncultured bacterium. Its description in RNAcentral is "partial 16S ribosomal RNA". It matches the Rfam family "Bacterial small subunit ribosomal RNA", at positions 338 to 795 of the family's 1533-position model. The record is from RNAcentral.
CCUACGGGUGGCUGCAGUGAGGAAUAUUGGUCAAUGGGCGAGAGCCUGAACCAGCCAAGUCGCGUGAGGGAGUACUGCCCUAUGGGUUGUAAACCUCUUUUGUCGGGGAGCAAAAGCCGGACGUGUCCGGCUGUGAGAGUACCCGAAGAAAAAGCAUCGGCUAACUCCGUGCCAGCAGCCGCGGUAAUACGGGGGAUGCGGGAGUUAUCCGGAGUUAUUGGGUUUAAAGGGGGCGCAGGCGGAUUUUUAAGUCAGGGGUAAAAUGGUGGGGCUCAACCCCAUCGAGCCGUUGAAACUGGGGGUCUAGAGUUGGCGAGAGGUACGCGGAAGGCGCGGGGUAGCGGUGAAAUGCAUAGAUAUCGCGCAGAACCCCGAUUGCGAAGGCAGCGUACCGGUGCAAAACUGACGCUGAGGCACGAAAGCGUGGGUAUCGAACAGGAUUAGAUACCCGAGUAGUC